CCGCUGAACUUAAGCAUAUCAAUAAGCGGAGGAAAAGAAACUAACAAGGAUUCCCCUAGUAACGGCGAGUGAAGCGGGAAGAGCUCAAGCUUAAAAUCUCCGUGCAAGUUUUGCGCGGCGAAUUGUAGUCUAUAGAGGCGUGGUCAGCGUGGGCGCUUGGGGCAAGUUCCUUGGAAGAGGACAGCAUGGAGGGUGAUACUCCCGUUCAUCCCUGAGUGGCUCGUGCGUACGACCCGUUUUCUUUGAGUCGCGUUGUUUGGGAAUGCAGCGCAAAGUAGGUGGUAAAUUCCAUCUAAAGCUAAAUAUUGGUGCGAGACCGAUAGCGAACAAGUACCGUGAGGGAAAGAUGAAAAGAACUUUGAAAAGAGAGUUAAAGAGUACCUGAAACUGCUGAAAGGGAACCGAAUCGUUUCCAGUGUCUAUAAUCCGUGGCAUAUUUCAUUGGCGAGCGUUUGCGUGCGUGUGCUGUGGCGGUGGCUUUUUUGGCUGCGCCUGGCGUGUGUGCUGUGAGUGUUUGCUGGUGCCCUGUGCUGCGGUGGGACGUCAAGGUCAGUUCGUAUGCUGCGGGAAAUGGCUGCCGAGGAGGUAGGGCUUACGCUCCGCGUUUGUCUGUUAUAUCUUGGUGGACGAGUCGUCGUGGUUGGGACUGAGGUGCCUACAACGUGCUUUUGAGUGGGUUUGUGUCUCCGUGUGCGCCGUGUGCGGAUAGCUUGCUAUGCGUGUGUGGUUGUGUGUGGAUUGAUGCGGGCUUUAACUUGUCGCCGUUCGGGACGUUGACGAAAUGGAGCGAUCCGACCCGUCUUGAAACACGGACCAAGGAGUCUAACAUGUGUGCAAGUGUUAGGGUGUGGAAACCCCAGCGCGAAAUGAAAGUGAAGGGCAGCGCAAGUUGUCUGAGGUAGGAAACGUUGCGGGCCUCGGUCUGCGGCGUGGCACUAUCGACCGAUCAUGAACCUUCGUGGUGAAAGAUUUGAGUUUGAGCACAUAUGUUGGUACCCGAAAGAUGGUGAACUAUGCCUGAGUAGGGUGAAGCCAGGGGAAACUCUGGUGGAAGCUCGUAGCGAUUCUGACGUGCAAAUCGAUCGUCAAACUUGGGUAUAGGGGCGAAAGACUAAUCGAACCAUCUAGUAGCUGGUUCCCUCCGAAAUUUCCCUCAGGAUAGCAGCAACUUAUUUACGAUAGUUUUAUGAGGUAAAGCGAAUGAUUAGAGGAUUCGGGGAAGAAACUUCCUCGACCUAUUCUCAAACUUUAAAUCUGUAAGACCUGCAGGUUUCUUAAUUGAACUUGUGGAUGUGAAUAUCAAGUUGCUAGUGGGCCAUACGGGGUAAGCUCGUCUGGCG
This 1340-nucleotide ribosomal RNA is filed under the name Phytophthora mexicana. RNAcentral describes it as "eukaryotic LSU rRNA". It matches the Rfam family "Eukaryotic large subunit ribosomal RNA", at positions 25 to 1155 of the family's 3401-position model. Lineage: Eukaryota; Oomycota; Peronosporomycetes; Peronosporales; Peronosporaceae. The record is from RNAcentral.